RNAcentral lists this ribosomal RNA (424 nucleotides) under uncultured Lactobacillus sp. RNAcentral describes it as "bacterial SSU rRNA". It matches the Rfam family "Bacterial small subunit ribosomal RNA", at positions 358 to 774 of the family's 1533-position model. Lineage: Bacteria; Bacillati; Bacillota; Bacilli; Lactobacillales; Lactobacillaceae. The record is from RNAcentral.
GGAAUCUUCCACAAUGGGCGCAAGCCUGAUGGAGCAACACCGCGUGAGUGAAGAAGGGUUUCCGCUCGUAAAGCUCUGUUGUUAGAGAAGAACGUGCGUGAGAGCAACUGUUCACGCAGUGACGGUAUCUAACCAGAAAGUCACGGCUAACUACGUGCCAGCAGCCGCGGUAAUACGUAGGUGGCAAGCGUUGUCCGGAUUUAUUGGGCGUAAAGCGAGUGCAGGCGGUCUUUUAAGUCUGAUGUGAAAGCCUUCGGCUUAACCGAAGAAGGGCAUCGGAAACUGGGAGACUUGAGUGCAGAAGAGGAGAGUGGAACUCCAUGUGUAGCGGUGAAAUGCGUAGAUAUAUGGAAGAACACCAGUGGCGAAGGCGGCUCUCUGGUCUGUAACUGACGCUGAGGCUCGAAAGCGUGGGUAGCAAACA